UACGUAGGGUGCAAGCGUUACUCGGAAUUACUGGGCGUAAAGCGUGCGCAGGCGGUUAUGUAAGACAGGUGUGAAAUCCCCGGGCUUAACCUGGGAACUGCAUUUGUGACUGCAUAGCUAGAGUACGGCAGAGGGGGAUGGAAUUCCGCGUGUAGCAGUGAAAUGCGUAGAUAUGCGGAGGAACACCGAUGGCGAAGGCAAUCCCCUGGGCCUGUACUGACGCUCAUGCACGAAAGCGUGGGGAGCAAACAGG
Molecule: ribosomal RNA, 253 nt
Filed under: uncultured bacterium
Lineage: Bacteria
Description: partial 16S ribosomal RNA
Rfam family: Bacterial small subunit ribosomal RNA
Source: RNAcentral